RNAcentral lists this transfer RNA (65 nucleotides) under Sunius melanocephalus. RNAcentral's name for it is "tRNA-Tyr". Lineage: Eukaryota; Metazoa; Arthropoda; Insecta; Coleoptera; Staphylinidae. The record is from RNAcentral.
GGUAAAAUGGCUGAUAAUAGGCGAUAAAUUGUAAAUUUAUUUAUGAACUUGAGGUUCUUUUACCA